Molecule: ribosomal RNA, 116 nt
Filed under: Pteropus alecto (black flying fox)
Lineage: Eukaryota; Metazoa; Chordata; Mammalia; Chiroptera; Pteropodidae
Source: RNAcentral
GUCUAUGGCCAUGCCACCCUGAACAAGCCCGAUGUCUGAUCUCAAAAGCUAAGCAGGGUUGGGCUUGGUUAGUACUUGGAUGGGAGACCACCUAGGAAGACCACGUACUGUAGGCA